GUGCUCGCUUCGGCAGCACAUAUACUAAAACUGGAACGAUACGGAGAUUAGCAUGGCCCCUGCGCAAGGAGGACACGCAAAUUCAUGAAGCGUUCCACAUUAAA
Molecule: small nuclear RNA, 104 nt
Filed under: Microtus ochrogaster (prairie vole)
Lineage: Eukaryota; Metazoa; Chordata; Mammalia; Rodentia; Cricetidae
Source: RNAcentral